Molecule: long non-coding RNA, 3140 nt
Filed under: Trifolium pratense (red clover)
Lineage: Eukaryota; Viridiplantae; Streptophyta; Magnoliopsida; Fabales; Fabaceae
Description: long non-coding RNA (TPRA_LNC013249)
Source: RNAcentral
ACCCUACUUUUGUUUAUGCUAUAAAAUUUGGACCAGUCAUUGAUAUGGGUAGUUUAUUGAGUCAAUGAAGCACGGAUUAAACCACUGGGUCACUAAUUGAACCAGUUGAAUUGGUAUGUAUUCCAAAAUAUAAAAAAAAUAAUAACUGGAAAUUGCAUACUUACAGAAAUUCCAAAAUAGAUUCAUAUAAUAACUUAACAUUUGGUAACUAUACCUUAAUAUUUCAUACUAUACUUAAGUAGAUAUUCAUAAAUUUAUUUUCAAUUCUAUGAUUCUAUUGUGGAACAUCAUUUAUAACUGUUAGGGUGACUCGGCGGUCAAGUCACCGGUUUUCAUGCCAAAAGAUUGCACUAGCUCCUCAAACCAUGUUUCGUAGGGGAAGUCGAGUACAUCCUGAACCACAGCAGGAAGAACAACCAGGAGGAGAAGGAGGACAACCAGCUGGAGGAGGAGGUGGUGGUGGACAGCCAGGAGGAGGUGAUGGAGGACACGCAUACACAGCUGUAGCUGUAGUUGGAGUUGUUUUCCUGAUCAGUUUAAUUGUAAGAACAACUUCUUCAUCAUUCUUUCUUUCUUUCUUUAUUUCUCAAUGAUCCUUCAUUUAUGUUUUUGGGUCUAAUCUAUUAAUCGCAUGGAAAUAUUGUUUCUUCUUUCAUCUUCCUUCCUUCCUUUCUUUCUUUCUCAAAUGAUGAUGAUUCAAAUAUUGUGUCUUAUCUAUUAAUCGCAUGCAUAAUUAAUAAAUUUGGAUAUACUGUUACUAUCUUCAUCUUCUUUCAUCUUUCUUUCUUUCUAAAUGAUGACUUUUCUAAAUUAUUGAUGAACAAAGCGGAACAUAUAUAUAGGCAAAAUUACACUGGAGGUCUUUUAUCUUAUUUAUUUGUAANNNNNNNNNNNNNNNNNNNNNNNNNNNNNNNNNNNNNNNNNNNNNNNNUUUUUUUUUUUUUUUUUUUUUUUUUUUGUAACGUUUAAGUCCUUUAUCUAUAUAAAUUUAUACGAAUCAAUCCUGUUUUUCAUUUUUUAUUUUAAAAAUGAUGAGUUGGCAAGCCAUGUAGGAAAAUCUUAUUUUUUUAAAUAUUAACAAUUUUGAAAUCUAAAAUUCAUAUGAACAUUCAUCUCAUGUUCAUCAGCUCCUUCAUAAAAUUAAAAUCAAUCGAGAAACAAAUUCUGUAUUUUAACCGAAAAACCCAGUUUCCAUUAAUUUUAUUUUUAUGAAUUUUAUGGAUUUUGGACAUUUUUUGGCAUUUAAUCUAGUAUAUAUAUAUAUCAUGAAAAAUGUUAUGAUUAAUAUAUUGUUUUUAAUUUGAUCAGAUUACUAUCUUCCUAAUAAUAUUUGGAAACGGCCAACAACACCAGAUUGGAGACACACCAUCACCAUCACCGUACCGGCGAACCCAAAAAUUCAAUUUCAUCAGUGAAUAUGCACAAGAAUAAAGUGUUCCUUCUAUUUUGCUUUCAGUAUGUAGAGUUACAUGAUGACUCAUUGUUCGGUUGAUACUAUAGUAGCAUUUUACCACUGCUAACUAUGUAUGUAGUGAUGGUGUUAAUAUGCACAUUAUUGUUCAUCAUUACUUAGUUUUUUACUUUUUAGUUUUAUACAAUACGAAGGAAACAUAUCCAGUUACUGUUUAUAACAAGCUCUCUUUCUCUUUUUUACCUUUUGGUUAUAAUAUAAUUGCACAUACUCAGUGUAGAAAUAUAUAUAAAAUUUUGAUUUCUUUUAUUUGGUUGGAUGGUUAAAGAAAAUUAAAUAAAUCCCUAAAUGUUUAAACUUAACAUACUGUAACUUACAUAUAUAGAUCAGAAUUCUAUGUGAAUAAAAUGCAAAGUCUUAACACUAUUUGAAUAUAUAGCACAAGUCAACCCAAAUUCUGCUACUCCAAUUCUAUUCAACUUCAGCAGGGAAAACAACUUAAUGAAGCUCUUAUAGCAUAAACACUUAUCAUAUAAGUCCUAAAUCCAUAUCUUAUCCUUAUUCUUCUGUGCUGCAUAUUUGACUGUAUAAUGGGACAUUUUGUUACCAGCCCAAGCAGAAUAUUGUCACCAUUUUUCUUAAAAAAAAUCUCUUAAAAAUCAACAAACUAACUAACUACUAACUAACAAACAAAGUAGAAAACUGUUAUUCAGUUAGUUAUAAUUUGCUUAAUCUCUCUCUCUCUCUCUCUCUCUCUCUCUCAUUAGGAUCUUAUAUAAAUAUACACAUUAAUUCAUUUUCUCAAGUCACUGUUUCAUUUGAUAUCUCUCUUUCAAAAUCAACGAUUCAGUCUCUCUCUCUCUCAAGAACCAUUUUCAGUGUACUAGCUCUUCAAACCAUGUUUCACAGAGGAAGUCGAGUACAUCCUGAACCACCACAGGAAGAACAACCAGAAGGAGGACAACCAGCUGGAGGAGAAGGUGGUGGACAGCUAGGAGGAGGAGGAAAUGGAGGACACGCAUUCAGAGUCAAAGUUGGAGUUGCUGUUAUUCUGAUCAGUACUAUCUUCGUAAGAACUUCUUCAUCUUUCUUUCUUUCUUUCUCAAUGAUCAUUCAUUUACGGUUUUGUGUGUAAUCUAUUAAUCUCAUGAAAAUAUUGUUUCUUCUUUCAUCUCUUUUUCUUUCUUCUUCAAUCAUGAUGAUUCAUUUACGUGUUUGUGUUAUAUACUAUUAUCAUUUGCGUGUUUGGAUAUACUGUUAUCUAUUUUCAUCUUCUUUCAUCUUUCUUUCUAUAUGAUUGAUGAUCAAAGCAGAACAUAUAUAGUACUGUACUUAAAUAUUAUGCAUGAUUAAUUAUUAUUAAUAUAUUGUUUUUAAUUGGAUCAGGGGUUAAUUCUCUUCAUAGUACUUGGAAGCGACCACCAGACCGGAGACACACCACCACCAACAUAAUCACCAUCACCGUCACCAUUACCACGACCGUAACCGGCGAACCCAAAAAACCAUUGAAGCCGGCCAUUUAAUUCAUCUUCAUUAGUGAAUAUGCACAAGAAUAAAGUGUUCCUUCUAUUUUGCUUUCAGUAUGUUGAUACUAUAGUAGCAUUUUACCAAUGCUAACCAUGUAGUAGUAUAUGUAGUAGGGAUGGUGUUAAUAUGCACAAUAUUGUUCAUCAUUACUUAGUUUCUUACUUUUUAGUUUUACUCGUGUAAUGUGAAGGAAACAUAUCCA